Long non-coding RNA from Scylla paramamosain (green mud crab), 2136 nucleotides. RefSeq lists it as uncharacterized. The record is from RefSeq and is a predicted model, not a curated record. NCBI's taxonomy places the organism in Eukaryota, Metazoa, Arthropoda, Malacostraca, Decapoda, Portunidae. The transcript has 3 exons.
AACAACAACAACAACAACAACAACAACAACAGCAGCAGCAGCAACAAAAACAACAACAACAACAACAACCGCAACAACGACAGCAGCAGCAGCAGUAGCAGUAUUUCAAACAUCUUUAUAUCUUCAUUAUUAUUUUUAACUAGUAAAAAAAAAUCAAGAGACCAACAAUUGUGGCAGCAGGAGCAGAAGCAGGAGAAGGAGUGGAAUAAAGAACGAGAAAGAGGAGAGAGGAUAAAGGAAGAAAAAGAGUGGCGGUACUGGAGGAGGAGGAGGAGGAGUGGCGGUGGUGUUCAUUUGGUGGAGCAUAAGUAGGAAUAAGUAAGACUUUUCGUUACUUACAGGAUAAUAAGACGUUUGGAGCAGCAAUUUAUAUCUAUAAUACGCCUAACUAUUUUCCUCCUCCCUCUUCUUUUCCCCUCCUCCCUCCCUCCCUACUGCCCGUGCUGUCCCUCUUUUCACGUUUCUACUUCUUCUUUAAUCUCUUCAUGUAAGGCGGUUUGUUGGUCUGCUUCCUAAUUUGUAUAUGAUCUACAUACACACAUCACUACUUGAGCAGCUGUACAUUGCUAAGGUUUGUUCAUUGAUACCAUCUGUCCUCUCCUGCAGUGAUUCCCCAUGCUGUGCUGCAGCCGCCCAACGUCAUCCCAGAGAAGCUCACACGAUGCAUUCACGAUCAUGAAUCGCUGGUGGAUGAACACAACCCACCAGCAGUACAUCAAUAGAACUCAGUGCUUUGUCAAGCAGUAUUCCACCUAUGAUGUGGCACCACUCCUGCCCCCCACACUAGCAGCCGUGUCACAAGUUACUAGUAAGAAGGGAACCUGGAAAAUGGGUGGGCAAAAGAAGAAAGGAAACAGGAUGGAAUGCAGAAGCAAAAGGAGAAUAUAAGGAAGCAGGAAAAAGAAAGAAUUAGUAGCAUAUCUCCUAAUCCUUUCCUACCCUAUUUAUUCUACUAAUCAUCAGAGCUUAUCUGUUAUUUGGUUGUCUUUUGCUAUGUCUUUGUAGCCAAUACUAUCACUCCUCACAGCAAGAGUAGCAGUCCUUACCUCUUGUCUACGCCUGUCAUAUCCAUUAUUCUUGUAGAUAAGUGGUGAAAGAACACUGGCUGAGAACAUGGCAGAUAAUGGGGGUAAGAGAGUGUGUGUGUGUGUGUGUGUGUGUGUGUGUGUGUGUGUCAUUGAACAUUUUCUUGUGCUGGGUUGUCUAUGUUGUGCUUUUCAUUUCAUUUUCAUCUAAUACUUCCUCCUCCUCCUCUUCUCUUCUACUCUUAGUGUAUUACUUGGCUCCACUGCAUGCAGUGUUACUCCCUCCAGGCUUUGCCUCUGUGGAUUUUACUAGCAGGUCCUGCAUGAGGUUUGGGAAGCUGCUGCACAUGUGGUUUGAUGUUAUGCUGUGUUGUACACUUUGCUGUCUUUCAAGAUCCCAGAAUUGAGAGUGAGAGAGAUUCUAUAAUGAUAGUGUUUGUGUAUUUUAUUUGCUAUGAAUAGCUUUCCAGAAGUAGAGUAACAGAGAUCAUACUAUCAGAGUUAGAGGUUUAAGAGUUGUAUACAGUUCUGCAUAAAACUUAAUGCUAUUGAUAAUGGUUAGUUUCUUAGUCUCGUCUUUAUGAAUGUUGCAUUAAAAUCCAUCAAUGAACACAUUAUUCGCUUCAUGCAUAAACAAACUGAUUAACCAAUUUUUUCCUUCCCAUCACAAAAUGUGUUGACUCUGCCACAGACUUUCACGACAUCCUCACCAUGACACCACAUGCAUCCCUUACUCCCUCCUUCUCUUAUAACUGCCUUGCCCUCCUGAGGCCUGAGAGCAGCAUGGGUGGCCUACCAAAGGAGAGUGGAGAAGGAUGGGUGGGGCCAUACACUCUCCCUCCUGGCCUUCGACACUUCACCAAGGACCAACUCUUCUUUAUCAGCUUUGCUAAGGAGUGGUGCAACAACAUCACGCCCUUCGCACUGCAGUAUAUCCCGAAAGCCAGCGUCCACAUGCCUGGUUACUUCCGAACCCAAAAGAGAAGUGCAUGCUGUGGUGAAGAAGGGGUGACGGCAAGACUGUGGCAGGAGGCAGGUGCUGCUCCAGACAGGGCCAUCAAGUGUAUGUGUACUCAUGUGCCCUCAUGGUGCAGGAAGGAGGUGACAGAAU